This 1396-nucleotide ribosomal RNA is filed under the name uncultured bacterium. Its description in RNAcentral is "bacterial SSU rRNA". It matches the Rfam family "Bacterial small subunit ribosomal RNA". The record is from RNAcentral.
GAAUUCGCCCUUAGAGUUUGAUCCUGGCUCAGGACGAACGCUGGCGGCGUGCCUAACACAUGCAAGUCGAGCGAGAAUUUCGUAACGGAUUCCUUCGGGGAGAAGAUACGGAAGGAAAGCGGCGGACGGGUGAGUAACGCGUGAGUAACCUGCCUAUCAGAGGGGGACAACAUUUCGAAAGGGAUGCUAAUACCGCAUAAUAUUGUUUUACCGCAUGAUAGAACAAUCAAAGAUUUAUCGCUGAUAGAUGGACUCGCGUCUGAUUAGAUAGUUGGUGGGGUAAAGGCCUACCAAGUCGACGAUCGGUAGCCGAACUGAGAGGUUGAUCGGCCACAUUGGGACUGAGACACGGCCCAGACUCCUACGGGAGGCAGCAGUGGGGAAUAUUGCACAAUGGGGGAAACCCUGAUGCAGCGACGCCGCGUGGAGGAAGAAGGUCUUCGGAUUGUAAACUCCUGUUGUUGGGGAAGAUAAUGACGGUACCCAACAAGGAAGUGACGGCUAACUACGUGCCAGCAGCCGCGGUAAAACGUAGGUCACAAGCGUUGUCCGGAAUUACUGGGUGUAAAGGGAGCGCAGGCGGGAAGACAAGUUGGAAGUGAAAUCUAUGGGCUCAACCCAUAAACUGCUUUCAAAACUGUUUUUCUUGAGUAGUGCAGAGGUAGGCGGAAUUCCCGGUGUAGCGGUGGAAUGCGUAGAUAUCGGGAGGAACACCAGUGGCGAAGGCGGCCUACUGGGCACCAACUGACGCUGAGGCUCGAAAGUGUGGGUAGCAAACAGGAUUAGAUACCCUGGUAGUCCACACCGUAAACGAUGAUUACUAGGUGUUGGAGGAUUGACCCCUUCAGUGCCGCAGUUAACACAAUAAGUAAUCCACCUGGGGAGUACGACCGCAAGGUUGAAACUCAAAGGAAUUGACGGGGGCCCGCACAAGCAGUGGAGUAUGUGGUUUAAUUCGACGCAACGCGAAGAACCUUACCAAGUCUUGACAUCCCUUGACAGACAUAGAAAUAUGUAAUCUCUUCGGAGCAAGGAGACAGGUGGUGCAUGGUUGUCGUCAGCUCGUGUCGUGAGAUGUUGGGUUAAGUCCCGCAACGAGCGCAACCCUUAUGGUCAGUUACUACGCAAGAGGACUCUGGCCAGACUGCCGUUGACAAAACGGAGGAAGGUGGGGAUGACGUCAAAUCAUCAUGCCCUUUAUGACUUGGGCUACACACGUACUACAAUGGCGUUAAACAAAGAGAAGCAAGACCGCGAGGUGGAGCAAAACUCAGAAACAACGUCCCAGUUCGGACUGCAGGCUGCAACUCGCCUGCACGAAGUCGGAAUUGCUAGUAAUCGUGGAUCAGCAUGCCACGGUGAAUACGUUCCCGGGCCUUGUACACACCGCCCGUCA